GAUGACGCUGGCGGCGUGCCUAAUCCAUGCAAGUCGAGCGAACAGACGAGGAGCUUGCUCCUCUGACGUUAGCGGCGGACGGGUGAGUAACACGUGGAUAACCUACCUAUAAGACUGGGAUAACUUCGGGAAACCGGAGCUAAUACCGGAUAAUAUAUUGAACCGCAUGGUUCAAUAGUGAAAGACGGUUUUGCUGUCACUUAUAGAUGGAUCCGCGCCGCAUUAGCUAGUUGGUAAGGUAACGGCUUACCAAGGCAACGAUGCGUAGCCGACCUGAGAGGGUGCUCAGCCACACUGGAACUGAGACACGGUCCAGACUCCUACGGGAGGCAGCAGUAGGGAAUCUUCCGCAAUGGGCGAAAGCCUGACGGAGCAACGCCGCGUGAGUGAUGAAGGUCUUCGGAUCGUAAAACUCUGUUAUUAGGGAAGAACAAAUGUGUAAGUAACUAUGCACGUCUUGACGGUACCUAAUCAGAAAGCCACGGCUAACUACGUG
This 496-nucleotide ribosomal RNA is filed under the name uncultured bacterium. RNAcentral's name for it is "partial 16S ribosomal RNA". It matches the Rfam family "Bacterial small subunit ribosomal RNA", at positions 32 to 507 of the family's 1533-position model. The record is from RNAcentral.